UUUAAUAAUUAGUUCAGCCUGGUCAGUACCUGGAUGGGAGUCCUCCUGGGAAAACUAGGUUGCUGUUGAAA
RNAcentral lists this ribosomal RNA (71 nucleotides) under Sinocyclocheilus grahami. Lineage: Eukaryota; Metazoa; Chordata; Actinopteri; Cypriniformes; Cyprinidae. The record is from RNAcentral.